Molecule: transfer RNA, 72 nt
Filed under: Ailuropoda melanoleuca (giant panda)
Lineage: Eukaryota; Metazoa; Chordata; Mammalia; Carnivora; Ursidae
Rfam family: tRNA
About the family: Transfer RNA (tRNA) molecules are approximately 80 nucleotides in length. Their secondary structure includes four short double-helical elements and three loops (D, anti-codon, and T loops). Further hydrogen bonds mediate the characteristic L-shaped molecular structure. tRNAs have two regions of fundamental functional importance: the anti-codon, which is responsible for specific mRNA codon recognition, and the 3' end, to which the tRNAs corresponding amino acid is attached (by aminoacyl-tRNA synthetases). tRNAs cope with the degeneracy of the genetic code in two manners: having more than one tRNA (with a specific anti-codon) for a particular amino acid; and 'wobble' base-pairing, i.e. permitting non-standard base-pairing at the 3rd anti-codon position.
Source: Rfam by way of RNAcentral
ACCUGGCUGGCUCGGUGGUAGAGCACGUGACUCUUGAUCUCAGGAUUGUGAGUUCAAGCCCCACGCUGGGCG